CAGCCGCGGUAAUACAGAGGGGGCAAGCGUUGUUCGGAAUUACUGGGCGUAAAGGGCGCGUAGGCGGCCUGUUAAGUCGAACGUGAAAUCCCCGGGCUCAACCCGGGAACUGCGUCCGAUACUGGCAGGCUUGAAUCCGGGAGAGGGAUGCGGAAUUCCAGGUGUAGCGGUGAAAUGCGUAGAUAUCUGGAGGAACACCGGUGGCGAAGGCGGCAUCCUGGACCGGCAUUGACGCUGAGGCGCGAAAGCCAGGGGAGCAAACGGGAUUAGAUACCCCGGUAGUCCUGGCCCUAAACGAUGAAUGCUUGGUGUGGCGGGUAUCGAUCCCUGCCGUGCCGAAGCUAACGCAUUAA
Molecule: ribosomal RNA, 353 nt
Filed under: uncultured soil bacterium
Lineage: Bacteria
Description: bacterial SSU rRNA
Rfam family: Bacterial small subunit ribosomal RNA
Source: RNAcentral